RNAcentral lists this ribosomal RNA (511 nucleotides) under uncultured bacterium. Its description in RNAcentral is "bacterial SSU rRNA". It matches the Rfam family "Bacterial small subunit ribosomal RNA", at positions 28 to 528 of the family's 1533-position model. The record is from RNAcentral.
GACGAACGCUGGCGGCGUGGAUUAGGCAUGCAAGUCGAACGGUAUCAUCCUUUCGGGGGUGAGAGAGUGGCGAACUGGUGAGUAACACGUAGGUUAUCUACCCUCAAGACGGGGACAACCCAGGGAAACUUGGGCUAAUACCGGAUGUGAGCAACUUUUUAGUUGUUUGAAAGGUGGCGUAAGCUGUCGCUUGGGGAUGAGCCUGCGUCCUAUUAGUUAGUUGGUGAGGUAACGGCUCACCUAGGCAAUGAUAGGUAGGCGGCCUUAACGGGUGGUCGCCCACACUGGGAUUGAGAUACGGCCCAGACUCCUACGGGAGGCAGCAGUCGAGAAUAGUCUACAAUGGUCGGAAGACUGAUAGUGCGACGCCGCGUGAACGAUGAAUCCCUUCGGGGUGUAAAGUUCUUUUAUAUGUGAGCAGUGCUUCUUAUAUUAACAGUAUGGGGAGAGAGAUAUUAGCAUAUGAAUAAGCAACGGCUAACUCCGUGCCCAGCAGCCGCGGUAAACUCGU